Molecule: ribosomal RNA, 468 nt
Filed under: uncultured Planctomycetota bacterium
Lineage: Bacteria; Pseudomonadati; Planctomycetota
Description: bacterial SSU rRNA
Rfam family: Bacterial small subunit ribosomal RNA
Source: RNAcentral
AUGCCCGAAAGGGUGACGAAGCGACGCCGCGUGGGUAAGGAAGGCCCUCGGGUUGUAAAGCCCUGUCAGGAGUUAAGAAAUGUAGGUGUGCUAAUAUCACGCCUAUUUGACGAAGGCUCCAAAGGAAGUCACGGCUAACUCUGUGCCAGCAGCCGCGGUAAUACAGAGGUGGCAAGCGUUGUUCGGAAUUAUUGGGCGUAAAGAGCACGUAGGUGGGUUUGUAAGUCAGAUGUGAAAGCCUCCUGUUCAACGGGAGAAUUGCAUCUGAAACUACCGAUCUUGAGUGUAGGAGGGGAGAAUGGAACUUCUGGUGGAGCGGUGAAAUGCGUAGAUAUCAGAAGGAACGCCGGCGGCGAAAGCGAUUCUCUGGCCUAUUACUGACACUCAGUGUGCGAAAGCUAGGGGAGCAAACGGGAUUAGAUACCCCGGUAGUCCUAGCCGUAAACGAUGGGCACUAAGUAGAGGGGU